AGUGAACGCUGGCGGUAGGCCUAACACAUGCAAGUCGAACGGCAGCACAGUAAGAGCUUGCUCUUACGGGUGGCGAGUGGCGGACGGGUGAGGAAUACAUCGGAAUCUACUUUUUCGUGGGGGAUAACGUAGGGAAACUUACGCUAAUACCGCAUACGACCUACGGGUGAAAGCAGGGGAUCUUCGGACCUUGCGCGAUUGAAUGAGCCGAUGUCGGAUUAGCUAGUUGGCGGGGUAAAGGCCCACCAAGGCGACGAUCCGUAGCUGGUCUGAGAGGAUGAUCAGCCACACGGGAACUGAGACACGGUCCAGACUCCUACGGGAGGCAGCAGUGGGGAAUAUUGGACAAUGGGCGCAAGCCUGAUCCAGCCAUACCGCGUGGGUGAAGAAGGCCUUCGGGUUGUAAAGCCCUUUUGUUGGGAAAGAAAAGCAGCAGGUUAAUACCCCGCUGUUCUGACGGUACCAAAAGAAUAAGCACCGGCUAACUUCGUG
RNAcentral lists this ribosomal RNA (492 nucleotides) under uncultured bacterium. Its description in RNAcentral is "partial 16S ribosomal RNA". It matches the Rfam family "Bacterial small subunit ribosomal RNA", at positions 29 to 507 of the family's 1533-position model. The record is from RNAcentral.